UACGGAGGGGGCUAGCGUCGUUCGGAAUUACUGGGCGUAAAGCGCGCGUAGGCGGCUAUUUAAGUCAGGGGUGAAAGCCCGGAGCUCAACUCCGGAACUGCCUUUGAGACUGGAUAGCUAGAAUCUUGGAGAGGCGAGUGGAAUUCCGAGUGUAGAGGUGAAAUUCGUAGAUAUUCGGAAGAACACCAGUGGCGAAGGCGGCUCGCUGGACAAGUAUUGACGCUGAGGUGCGAAAGCGUGGGGAGCAAACAGG
RNAcentral lists this ribosomal RNA (253 nucleotides) under uncultured bacterium. RNAcentral's name for it is "partial 16S ribosomal RNA". It matches the Rfam family "Bacterial small subunit ribosomal RNA", at positions 524 to 776 of the family's 1533-position model. The record is from RNAcentral.